This 253-nucleotide ribosomal RNA is filed under the name uncultured bacterium. Its description in RNAcentral is "partial 16S ribosomal RNA". It matches the Rfam family "Bacterial small subunit ribosomal RNA", at positions 524 to 776 of the family's 1533-position model. The record is from RNAcentral.
UACGUAGGGGGCAAGCGUUAUCCGGAGUUACUGGGUGUAAAGGGAGCGUAGACGGUAAUGUAUGUCUGGAGUGAAAGGCGGGGGCCCAACCCCCGGACUGCUCUGGAAACUAUGUUACUAGAGUGCAGGAGAGGUAAGCGGAAUUCCUAGUGUAGCGGUGAAAUGCGUAGAUAUUAGGAGGAACACCAGUGGCGAAGGCGGCUUACUGGACUGUAACUGACGUUGAGGCUCGAAAGCGUGGGGAGCAAACAGG